This 4028-nucleotide long non-coding RNA is filed under the name Chlamydomonas reinhardtii. RNAcentral's name for it is "long non-coding RNA (CREI_LNC001185)". Lineage: Eukaryota; Viridiplantae; Chlorophyta; Chlorophyceae; Chlamydomonadales; Chlamydomonadaceae. The record is from RNAcentral.
UUGGUGGUGGUGGUUGCGGGCUGGUGUGGCGCGGCCGUAGUGACAGCCGCAGCGCCGCCCACGGCACCCGCUGUCACUGUUUCCACCGCCACCGCCGGCUGCUGCAGCCGGCGCAGCAGGUAGGCCUCCUGCUCGGAAGGAGUCAGGAAGUCCCAUUCCCAGUACGGCACUAGUAGGACGCCGCCCUCCUUAAACGCCCGCCGCAGCUGCCGAAUGCGAAUGGCCGUACCCCCUUCCACAGCAGCGCUGGGGUCUUGCUGCUGCGUUUGUGUCAAGAGGUAACGUUUCGGUCCGAGGAACUCCACCGCCGCCUGCUGCCCGUCACUCAGCCGCACCACCGCAUCCACUGGCGCCAACACUCCUGGCGCGACAACGCCCGUCUGAAGGGACUGAACGGCUAGGCCCCCUGCUGCCUUGAGGCCCUGCUGCUCAAGCCGCCGCAGCGCUGCAACGACCUGCUUUUGAGUAUCUGAUGUGGGCUUGGCGUCUUCCCUCUCAGUAGUCACCGCCGCUGCCAUCGCCGCCUGCAGUCCGCUGCCGCUGCCCAGGGCCGCCGCCACCUCGCCGCCUAGCUCCUGCUGCGCCUGCCACAGCUGUUUGAGAUGCUCAGUUGUAAGACCCUCCCAACGGCUUACUGCUUCACGGGCCAGCUGAAUGGAUAGCUGCUUCAUGUCGGGAGAAUACGUGCCUCCGAACACAGCCAUGGCCCACAGGCUGUUGCAUACGUGCUGGUGCAGGACUGUGUCAGAGUCAUGCUGCAGCAGCUCGCCCAGCCGACCGCACACCGCCGCCUCCAAGCCAGCGUGCCGCAGCUGCAGCACCGCCAGCGCGUACAGCGUAUUGGCACAGUUCUGACCACCGGCACUACUGGCGCGCAUGGCUGCUACUGCUGCGCCCGAGUCAAGCAGCUCCGCCGGCGGCUGGUGGCGCAUCAACGCAAGCGCGUACAGCAGAUUGGACCAGGCCUGAGAUGUUGCGCGGGCCAUGGCGCCCGACUGCGUUGCUGCGUCCACCGCUGCUGAAACCCACUGCCGCUGCUCGGCCGGCGCCUCCGGGCCCGCCCCAAAUCCCAUCUUGGCUAGGGCCCACGCUGAGUUGCUGAGGUCCUGAGCGAUGUACCCGUCAAACCCCCGCCGCACGUCCUCUGCGGCCACUGCCACCACCAGCUCUGCCUGCUCGCUGCAUAGCUGCAGCCCCUCCAGCGCCAGCAGGAUGUUGGAUAGCUGUUGCGGGAUAAAUGCUGCAGCGAGCUCCGGUUUCCGGAGCCGCUGCAGUGCCUCCCCGCACAGCGCCUCAACUGCUGACCGGUACUCUGGUCCUGUGCACCCCAGAGCUUUGAGAGCCCAUAGGCUGUUUGAAACAUCUUGCGGCUUGAAGCCGUGGCCCGCCACCGUUCUCAAGCGAGAAGCCACAGCUGCCGCCAAGGUCUGCAAGUGUGGCGAUGAGGUGGGGUCCCAGCCUGAGCCCCGCUGCUGCUGGUCUUGCUUGAGCUUGCCGAGCGCGUACAUGACAAUUGCGAGGUUCUGAGGUUCCGCCUUCCCAAGAACCUCAGGAUCCACUAGCCGCUCCAGCAGAGCUGCUGCAAGCUGAGCCUCCGUGCCGCCGCCGACCAAUCCAGCUUUGCCCAGCGCCCACAGCGGAAUGCUGCAGUUCUUUGCGUUGCGGAUGCGCGGCACGAGCGGCAGGUAGGCCGGCGCAAGCAUGCCGAUAAUGCUGCUGCGUGCUACAGCCGUUUGGCUUGCUCCAGCGCGCGACUCCAGCUGCGUUCAAAGCAGUUAUGAGGGACAUACAUGGGGUCAAGUGCUAUAUGCAUGUGUUUGUGCGUGUGCGUGAACAGGUGCGCAUGCAAGUCCUGUGUGGCCAUCUGCGUCGUGAGAACCGGAAGUCCGGGCCGAGAACGACAACAAUGGACUCGCCCUCCAUUCUGCACUUCAUUUCUGUGCCCAUUCCCACCUGCACGUAUUAGUCCUCCCUCUCACCUUGCCGCACAGGUUGAACGCCGCACACAUGGUAAUGAAGUCUUUUCGGCCCUCCCACACUGAUAGCCGCUGGCUGAUGAUUGCUUGCAGCUCCUCCAGAGUCCGACACACGGUCAUGUCAUCCGCGGGGUCACGCCCGCUGCCCCUGCUUCUGCCGCUGGCGCGGCUGCCAUCGCCUGCCCUGCCUCCGCCGCUUCCCCUACCCNNNNNNNNNNNNNNNNNNNNNNNNNNNNNNNNNNNNNNNNNNNNNNNNNNNNNNNNNNNNNNNNNNNNNNNNNNNNNNNNNNNNNNNNNNNNNNNNNNNNGAGAAUAACGCAAGGAACGAAAGGUCAGGUGCGUGUAGGUCGCUGGGCCAAAGCCGCCUGAGUAGCUGUGGCUUGGUAUGGAUGAUAAAGCAACUGAAUCAAUUUGCCACCGGUGUUGAGGCGAGGGCGACCUGACCGCGAAAUACACGGCCCGAGGGCACGCCCCGUAUCAACACCCCUCGCGACCUCCAAACACGUGCACUGAACCGCGAAGCCCUCCCCCAAGCCUAUCGCGGCUGCUAUUCCCAUGUCCUCCUCCCCAACCAUUCUGCAUACAGGCUCUGGCGUGAGUCCCUGCCCGCGUCAUUUGACACCCGUCGACCACGACUGAGGUGCAACGCAUGUCGCUUACAAAUCCAACAUCCCGCCCGACACGAGAGGGGCAGAAACGGCGGGGCAGACGGCCAGCCUCUUGAACAUGAGCAUAGCAGUGCAAUAUCGCACAUUGGGUCCCCGCCUGCUUCACCUGGCCACCUUUGCUGAUUUGUCUGACAUCCCUGUCUACACACUUUUAUCCGCCCACGCUUGAGACGUCCUCCUCAGCGCGCAGGCUUCACGGUACCAACCGUGCGGUAUCAUCGCUACAUGAUGAGUGCACUGCCCCAACCAUUGAAGCAUCACAAGGUGCUUGCCUGCCGCCGCCGCCGCUGAUACGUACACGAUUGCUGCCACACAACCAACACAUCACACCCAACAAUCACAACAACAAAACAACUGAGACCCGCCGCCGUGCAACGCACACUGUACACGCCCCAGGGCCGAGAACACAACGCAACACAAGCACCUGACAUGCCUCAUCCAGGCAUGCGUCACUCAAUCGCCCACCGAGCCGACCUCGCACACGCCGUUCGUGAGCCCCUGCGGCUGACAUGCCCGGCCCUGCCCCCUUGGCACCGCAGCCCUGCCGCCUUGGCACCGCCGCCCAUUGCCCCACCCCCAUGCUGCGUGCCAUGUAAGAAUAAAGCCAGGUCCCCAUCAAGCCGCAGCAUAUAUCCCCGCCAAGCCACCAGACUCCUCUUGCCGCACGCUACCAACCACCACCAGCACAGGACCGGCACCUGCCUGUCCCCCUGUUUAGUUUGGGCUGAUAUUUACAACCCCCCACCCUCCCCUCCCCACCUUCCCCAUUGCCAACCUCGCCCACCGCGCCGACAUGCACGCCGGCACCUCGCUCGUGCCUCUCGAGGCCUCCCAUCUUCCGUAGCUAGAGAUCCCUGUCCACGAGUAUCCACUUGGGCUCCAGCCCACUCCUGAUGCACACGCCGGCAUUACCCAGGUCUGCAUGGUUUGCAUGCCUGCCUGUCUACCGUGCACGCACACCUGCCUAGCUACGCAGACCUACUACCGUCCUUUUUGACCCGCCUCCGCCGCCACCGCCGCCGUCUCCUCCCUCUGGCCGCCGUGCCGGCCGCGCCAGCAGCUGCUGUUGUGGGUUGCCGCCAGAGCCGCCGCCGCCCUUGUUGCUGUUGGUGGUGGUGGUUGCGGGCUGGUGUGGCGCGGCCGUAGUGACAGCCGCAGCGCCGCCCACGGCACCCGCUGUCACUGUUUCCACCGCCACCGCCGGCUGCUGCAGCCGGCGCAGCAGGUAGGCCUCCUGCUCGGAAGGAGUCAGGAAGUCCCAUUCCCAGUACGGCACUAGUAGGACGCCGCCCUCCUUAAACGCCCGCCGCAGCUGCCGAAUGCGAAUGGCCGUACCCCCUUCCACAGCAGCGCUGGGGUCUUGCUGCUGCGUUUGUGUCAAGAG